This 229-nucleotide ribosomal RNA is filed under the name uncultured bacterium. RNAcentral describes it as "partial 16S ribosomal RNA". It matches the Rfam family "Bacterial small subunit ribosomal RNA", at positions 568 to 796 of the family's 1533-position model. The record is from RNAcentral.
UGCGUAGGCGGGCCGGUCAGUCGGGUGUGAAAACUCACGGCUUAACCGUGGGCUUGCAUUCGAAACUGCCAGUCUUGAGUACGGGAGAGGGAAGUGGAAUUCCUGGUGUAGCGGUGAAAUGCGUAGAUAUCAGGAGGAACACCUGUGGCGAAGGCGGCUUCCUGGACCGAUACUGACGCUGAGGCACGAAGGCCGGGGGAGCAAACAGGAUUAGAUACCCUGGUAGUCC